Molecule: ribosomal RNA, 253 nt
Filed under: uncultured bacterium
Lineage: Bacteria
Description: partial 16S ribosomal RNA
Rfam family: Bacterial small subunit ribosomal RNA
Source: RNAcentral
UACGAAGGGGGCUAGCGUUGUUCGGAAUUACUGGGCGUAAAGCGCGCGCAGGCGGGUCAUCAAGUCAGAGGUGAAAGCCCAGAGCUCAACUCUGGAACUGCCUUUGAAACUGUUAAACUAGAGGACGAGAGAGGUGAGUGGAAUUCCCAGUGUAGAGGUGAAAUUCGUAGAUAUUGGGAAGAACACCGGUGGCGAAGGCGGCUCACUGGCUCGUUUCUGACGCUCAGGCGCGAUAGCGUGGGGAUCAAACAGG